Aquila chrysaetos chrysaetos is the source of this 673-nucleotide long non-coding RNA. RefSeq lists it as uncharacterized. NCBI's taxonomy places the organism in Eukaryota, Metazoa, Chordata, Aves, Accipitriformes, Accipitridae. The record is from RefSeq and is a predicted model, not a curated record. The transcript is spliced from 4 exons.
GCGGGUGCUGAGGCGGCGGGGGGGGCUGACAGCCCCGAACAGGGAGGAGGCGGCUCCCGUCCUGACGUUUGAACCGGCAGAGAGGAGCGUUGCACAUGGAAACGGCACCCUCGCCUUUCCCCCCUUGCCAUUUCGAAGCCUGAAAUUCCAGUGCCCGUGAGCGUGCUCCGCCGCAGCCCUCCUCCUGGCGCGAUUCCUCCUUGCUCCCCAAGUACGUCACUGACGUUUAUGGGGCAAAGGGCACCUGUGCACCAACCUGCUGCCUCACUCAAGCACCAACGUCUUUUUCUUCACGGAGGCAUUGCUAAGUCUUCUGUAGCUAUAAAUAGCAUCGGUGUGGCAGCAGUCAAGACCUUCAAAGGAAAAUGGAGACUAGUUUUGGAGGGAGAAAUACAGUGGUGGGGCAGAGAACAGCUACUGGAAAGAUAGUCCCAUGGACUGUAAUUAUUAGUCUGGUUCAGAGAUGUGCAGAAAGAAAAAGGAAAAAAGCCUCAUAAGGAGAGUGUGCAGCAAGUCCAGUAGUACUUGAUACAAAAGGAGUCCCUGAGCUCAAACAUCCACUCUGAAGAAAAAUAUAUUCUUGUUUCCUACUUUGUGUUGUGACUAUUCUUUAAAUGAAGGACUAUUCUCGACAAAUGGCUUCAUUUCAAAGGAGAGUAACAAGGACAUUUUC